Molecule: ribosomal RNA, 1495 nt
Filed under: uncultured bacterium
Lineage: Bacteria
Description: bacterial SSU rRNA
Rfam family: Bacterial small subunit ribosomal RNA
Source: RNAcentral
AGAGUUUGAUCCUGGCUCAGGAUGAACGCUAGCUACAGGCCUAACACAUGCAAGUCGAGGGGCAGCAUGGAUCCAGCUUGCUGGGUUCGAUGGCGACCGGCGCACGGGUGAGUAACGCGUAUCCAACCUGGCCCUUACCCCGGCACAGCUUUCUGAAAGGAGAGGUAAUGCGGGAUGUUCCGCCUUGUGGCGCAUGCCAUGGGCGGCAAAGGUUUACCGGUAAGGGAUGGGGAUGCGUUCCAUUAGCUUGUUGGCGGGGCAACGGCCCACCAAGGCGUCGAUGGAUAGGGGUUCUGAGAGGAAAGCCCCCCACAUUGGAACUGAGACACGGUCCAAACUCCUACGGGAGGCAGCAGUGAGGAAUAUUGGUCAAUGGGCGGAAGCCUGAACCAGCCAAGUAGCGUGAAGGAGGACGGCCCUUCGGGUUGUAAACUUCUUUUAUGCGGGAGUAACCGGCCGCACGUGUGCGGCCCUGCAAGUACCGCAUGAAUAAGCAUCGGCUAAUUCCGUGCCAGCAGCCGCGGUAAUACGGAAGAUGCGGGCGUUAUCCGGAUUUAUUGGGUUUAAAGGGAGCGUAGGCGGGCUUGCAAGUCAGCGGUUAAAUUUCGGCGCUCAGCGCCGUUGUGCCGUUGAAACUGCAUGCCUUGAGAGUACACGGGGCAGAUGGAAUUCGUGGUGUAGCGGUGAAAUGCUUAGAUAUCACGAAGAACACCGACGGCGCAGGCAUUCUGCCAGGGUACGACUGACGCUGAGGCUCGAAGGUGCGGGUAUCAAACAGGAUUAGAUACCCUGGUAGUCCGCACGGUAAACGAUGAAUGCCCGCUGUCGGCGACACACUGUCGGCGGCCAAGCGAAAGCGUUAAGCAUUCCACCUGGGGAGUACGCCGGCAACGGUGAAACUCAAAGGAAUUGACGGGGGCCCGCACAAGCGGAGGAACGUGUGGUUUAAUUCGAUGAUACGCGAGGAACCUUACCCGGGCUUGAAUUGCGUCCGCAGGGACCCGAGAGGGUCCUAUUCCUUCGGGACGGCCGCGAAGGUGCUGCAUGGUUGUCGUCAGCUCGUGCCGUGAGGUGUCGGCUCAAGUGCCAUAACGAGCGCAACCCCUGCUCCCGGUUGCCAGCGGUGAAAGCCGGGCACUCCGUGGGGACUGCCUCCGCAAGGAGCGAGGAAGGGGGGGACGACGUCAAAUCAGCACGGCCCUUACGUCCGGGGCUACACACGUGUUACAAUGGUGGGUACAGCGGGCCGCUAUACGGCGACGUAAUGCCAAUCCCGAAAUCCCAUCCCAGUUCGGACUGGAGUCUGCAACCCGACUCCACGAAGCUGGAUUCGCUAGUAAUCGCGCAUCAGCCAUGGCGCGGUGAAUACGUUCCCGGGCCUUGUACACACCGCCCGUCAAGCCAUGAAAGCCGGGGGCGCCUGAAGUCCGUGACCGCGAGGGUCGGCCUAGGGCGAAACCGGUGAUUGGGGCUAAGUCGUAACAAGGUAACCGUA